RNAcentral lists this unclassified non-coding RNA (5658 nucleotides) under Pomacea canaliculata. RNAcentral's name for it is "heat shock factor protein-like, transcript variant X5". The record is from RNAcentral. Lineage: Eukaryota; Metazoa; Mollusca; Gastropoda; Architaenioglossa; Ampullariidae.
AGAUUGAACAAACUGACCAGUAGCAAACAACAGCUUGAGAGCUAUGCAUGAAGGAACGGACGUCCGUGUAUGAUACUGAGGGAAGUAACAGUACUUAGGGUCAUACAACAGAUGCAAUUUCAUCAGUUCAUAGUUGAAAACACAAGAAUUGCGCAGUUCAGUAAACAAAAGUACAUCUCCAAGCCGGAAAGACAAGCCUACGCAUGCGCAAUAACCACUCAGCAGAUACCGCAACGAAAUGGCUUCCAAAGCGACUAAAAUACGAGCUGUUGUAUCUAGUUCUGAUACUGAAUCGUAUGCGGUGCAAGAAAAUGCAACCGGCAGUGGCAGCAAUGUUCCUGCAUUCCUUAUGAAAUUAUGGACUCUCGUUGAAAACCCAUUAACUGACCAUCUAAUAAGCUGGGAUUCGAGUGGUAAGAGCUUUCACAUCUAUGAGCAGUCCCAGUUUGCUCACGAGAUUUUGCCACUCUACUUCAAGCACAAUAAUAUUUCAAGCUUUAUCAGACAGCUAAAUAUGUAUGGGUUUAGAAAAGUUGUUCACGUGGAGCAAGGUGGGCUGAAGGUGGAGAAGGAUGAUUUAGAGUUCCAGCAUCCAUACUUCCAGCGUGGGCAGGAACUACUUCUUGACUUGAUCAAACGCAAAGUUACAAAGAAUGUGCCUACCAAAGAGGUGGCAGGAGUAAAUCUAAAUCUUGAUGAUGUAAACAAAAUGUUGGCUGAUGUUUCCCAACUCCGCGGCAAACAGGACAGUCUGUCAACCAGCUUCCUGAAUCUGAAGAAACAAAAUGAUAUUCUGUGGAAGGAGCUGAUCUCCCUACGACAGAAACAUGUACAGCAGCAGCAGAUAGUAAACAAGUUGAUCCAGUUUUUGCUGUCAUUAGUCACCAGGCAGGGAGGCAUGCCCGGACUCAAGCGGAAAAUUCCGCUUAUGCUAAAGGAUUCCUCUCAUUUGGAAGAUGAAGAGGGGAAAGGUCCCUCCCCAAAGAAAAAGCCACAUUUUUAUGUGGAUAGUCCCAGUGAUCAUGAUUACACAGUGCAGUCUCCCAGCGCCCCAAGUAUGCCAAGAACAGGAUCUAUGAACUCUGCUUCUGGCCCCGUUAUUCAUGAGUUGGUGGAUACUGAUGACUGCCACCAAGAUCACAUCUUGCAAAAUUCAUCACCACUUAAAGACUCCAUCCGUGUUACCCACCAAAUGUCAGUGCCUCAGCCACAAGCACAGACAAGUGCAGUAAAGGCAGCUUCUAACCGAUCACAGACUUCUGGUCUGGAAAGUCUGCUGGACCAGGCACUCAUGUCAGCAAAUAUUUCUCCUCUUGAUGCCAGCAUGGUGACUCCUGAGCAGUCUGAUAUUCCAAAGGCUUUUGUUCCUGACACACUGCCUGGAUCAUCCCCCUCACCUGAGCCACCAGACCAACAGCUGCUGCAGCAACCAAAGAUAGAGUCACAAGAGCAAGCUCUACUUCCCUCCUCUAUUGGACAGGUCAUAUUGAGACCUUCAGACCGACCUCUUUCUUCAACAAAGGACAUGUCAGACCAGUUGGAGUUUUUGCAAGCAGACAUUGAUCACCUUAAGGAAGUUCUCAGCAGUGGUCAGUACAACCUGGAUACCAGCAUCCUUCUUGGGCUGUUUGACCCCCAGAGCCCUCUGCCAGUGAACUUGGACUCCCCUGUAAGUGCUCAUGAGUUGGAGUGGUUGUCAUCUCAUAGGAUCAGACAGUUGUCAGAUAUUAUGGGAGGUGUUGGCAGCACAGAAGCAAGUAUCUCACCACAGAUUAGUGGCAGCAUCACAGGACAAGAACUCUGGCAGUAUCAGCCUCCAGAAGUACUGCCUGACCUUUUUGAUUUUGGAACCCUUACCGCUUCAGAAAUGAAUCAUGAAGAGGAGGAGGAUGAUGAUCUUCCAAUAUUCUUCAACAACGAAAAACGCCAGGAAGAGGGACUGCCAAAUUUCUUUGACAAUAAAGAGACUACCCUGAACACACCAAAACCAUCAUCUAAUGUCGGAUUCCAUUUAGGUGAAAAUGGUGACAUUGACAUAAGUGUUGAGGAUCUUGAUUGAAGGACAGAAAGAGCAGACAGAAUAAUAGGCAGUGCUUUUAUAAAGAAGACAAAUUUAUGAAAAGAGUGUUUUUUGUGAUGAGUGCUACAUGGUAGAUGCAUACCACUGAAAUUGCAUCUGGUCUCUGACACAUGGUCCUUGUAGGAAAGCUUUUCAAGGCUUCACAAGAAUGUAGGAAAGGUUGUAUAGAAACAAACUGAAAGGAAUAUGAGUUGAAGAAAAAGUGUUCAAGCAUACACAAGAUGCCAACUGUAUAAUACAAAACAGUUAUUUGUGUGUUAUUUUCAUCAGUAUUCAAGUACUUCCACUUGUUUCUCAACCCAGAAUAAUGUUAAAUGUUUAUAUGAAAGCAGUGAACACUGAUCUUUCAAGGAGACAACUCACAGAAGCAGUAAUCCAGUUGCAAGAAAGUUCGGUGCAGUGUCAUAAAGUUGACCUUACUAAAGUUCCAUUUACAAAUCUACUUCACAAGAGAGAGAAUCAGAACACAUCCUUAGUCGAUGAACAGUUUGCCACUUUUACUUUCCUUUGUUACCAAAAAAAAAAAAAGUUUCCCUGCAAAGCGUUCACCAAGUAUCGCCUACCAGCCUUCAUGAGUUUUUUCUUGGAGACUGUUCAUGUCUCCACAGAAGUGUGUGCUAAUGGACAACCAUUUGACCAGCAAGCACAAGACUGUUUUGGUACAGCUUCUUCACCUGCAGUUGACAUCACUCGCUUUUAACAAUGCCUGCUAAGCAGGUUGUUUUGUUUUUUUUUAGAAUUUGGAAAGUCAAUCAAGGGAAAUAAUGAAAGGUCCGUUUUGUUCCUUACUGGUCAAAAGAAAGUGAAGGCGUAUUUCAGGUUGUGCUGGGAUAAAAUAACUUGGACAAUUUUAUUUUUUGCUGAAGAAAUUUUCAUUGUGAUUGUUUUACACAAUUUGGUGUUUCACUGUAACUUAAACUUUUCCCUCUACACAUUUUGGGUGAGUGUGUGUAGCUUCAGUGUACAAGAGAAAUAUAUCAUUUUGUUGUUUGAGUAUCUUUGUUGAAGAUAUGCCUUAUAACUGUGGUACACAUGGAAAUGAAGAAUGCAUGUUGACAGUCAUCAGCUUGUUUCUAAAUCCUGUUUUCCUAGCAAGCAUAGUUCGUUUAUUUUAUGGCAAUAUAAGCCUGCAUGUGGUUUGUUUGAGUUUGUCCUUUUUUUCCUCGGUGUAGCAUGGGUUGUUAAUAAGUAAAAUGUACAGUGGCACUUGAGUAUGUUGGAGUGUCUGCCAUUUGCCUUGAAGAUGCCAAUAAAGCAAUAUGCAGAAAGAAUGAAUUAGGACUGGAUUGCAUGAAUUCAUGUGUUUUAAAAAUGUGGCAGGCUGUGACGUAGAAGACUUGACAGUGGCUAGUCUUCAUCGUAGUUUGAAUGAAAUAAAAAAUUUGUAAAUUUGCAUCUUAAAGUAUCCACAUUUGUGGAUAAAGCAAAUAAAGUAUUGUAGUUCUGUGUAAAUGAAAGCUAAUUAUGUGUUUCACAUAUAAAAAUAAAAGGCGGUUUCGUUUUUAUUUUGUGGGGGUUUUUAAAACAGAACUGUAGGUAAUCAACAGCUCUAAUUCAUGUAGAUUUCCAUCAUAUGACCUUUGCUUGCAUUACAAGCACUGUAUAAAAUCUUUAACUAAACUACUAAAGGUGUUAGUUAUAUUAAUGUGCAUAAUUAAUAGAUUUUACUUCUUAUUGUUUGCUCUUUGUCAAACAUCAUAUCAAUCUCAUUGCCAACAUCACAAUACUUUGAAACAGAUGCUAUCAAAGUGAAUAUUAAAAAAAAUGUACAUCUGUUGGGUUAAAUGUGUUGCUUCCAUGAACCUAUAAAUAUUUCACCCUUCAAAUAGAUGUGACUUCACACCACUACCUCAGUUUCAAUUUUUAAAGUAGUCUUCACAUUCUAAGAGGUAUGCUCAUUCAUUGCUCUGCUUUUAUGAAUUGACAUAUGCAACUUGUUCUUCUAUCACAAAUUUAAACAGCAAUUAAUAAAAAAAUUAAGAUUUUUGAUUUAUCAAUUACUUUUUGAUAACGAAAUCAUUUUAAUUCCUUGGCUAAUGGUUUCCAGAAAGCUUGAUUUACUUGCUUCUAGCCUUAUAUGAAUUAGCAGCGAAUACAAAGAAACUAGCAGAAUAGAGUUGUGCUAGAUGUAACAUUUUGUACCAUCAUGUAUUUAAUUCUUUUUGCCGAGAACUAUAGACAACAAUUAUCCUACCAUUUGCUUUCUUUGUUGUUGCUAGUUUGCAAAUGACAAGUUACUAUGACAAUAUUUUCUCUUUUCUUCUGCGUUGAACUGAUUGUGUUUUAUAUUAUCUGUUUGGUGCAGGCAGCAUACUCUACUUUUCAGUGUAGAUUGGUGUCAGUAUUUUGAUUUGCAUUUUACCUCAUUCCUUUUCUCUCACUCAGCUUUUCUUCUUUUGAUUAAGAAGAAUUUGCAAACUACCCCAGGCUCCAAUGAUGUUCAUUCUUGACAAGCGUGUUUCCAUGGGAAAUUAAACCCAUCUUUGUGGAUAUAGACUUUCCAUUUUUCAGCAUAUGCUAAUCAUUCUUUUGUAUAAUUUAUUCACCUCUUUUUUUUUUUCACUGUGUUAAUCACGUUGGCAUAAUAUAGCUUCAGCACACAGUAAUCAACCAGCACUUCCAGUUAAAAUCCUCAUUUAUAUGUUGGCUCUACGCAUAUUUUUGUUGCUAUCUUGUAGGACCUUACUGUCAAGCAUUUUAAAACUAAAAAAGUGGAAGAGGAAAAUAUAAAGCAUAAAUGAGAAAAAAGGCAGUAUAAAGAGGCUGAAUAAAAUUACUGAUGUUUGAGUAAGUAUAGCCUUAUAUAUAUAUUCUUCACAUUUCCACUGGUUACUCUUGUGAUUACAAACCAUGAUUUUACCAUAGACUAAGAAUAUUUUAGGUAUAUCAAAUGCGGUGACAAUAUGAUUUUACGGCCAGGAAGACUGGAUGUAUUAAUAUUGGAAGUGUUGACUAAUAUACAUGCUUUUCCAUGAAACCUCAUAGUAUUUUUUUUUAUCCGAACCCUGCUGCUUUGUAUUUAUUACUGUUCCAGGCUACAAGCACCAGGUUUCUGUGUCCCUUUGUUGAAUGUUUUAUAAAGCAUGUAACAUCGAUUAUAUAUCAAGUGCAGUCACCGACCUUCAGAUUUAAUUGUUAUCACCUUUUAUUCAAAACUUGAAAUUAUUCCACUUUUAAGCCAUCAUCAAAUCGCAAACACAAUGUACAUACUAUUUAAACAACUAUAUAUAUAGUCUUCAACACACAGCUGGUGCUAACUGAAGCCUGACUUCAUCCAUUCCCAGCUUGUAGACAGUGUUUGAAAGGAAGCUUAUUUUUAAAGCCAACAUAUUUUUCUGCCUAGAUCCUUCACAACCCAUGUUUUAGUCAUUUUUCCUGUCGUCUUCAUCAGGUACAGUAUAUUGUUGUUUUGUUGUCAGUAGUGCAUAUAGCAGUUGCCCUGAUCAUCUUGGAGCUGAAUAAUACUCUAUAACCCUUAGAUAUGUUCAAGUUUGUGUAUAUAGACGAAGAACUGAUGUCAACAACAGCAUAUAUUUUUAAAGGAUAAUUUUUCACAAAAUAAAUUAUUAAAAAGGUAA